This 2311-nucleotide ribosomal RNA is filed under the name Winkia neuii. RNAcentral's name for it is "partial 23S ribosomal RNA". It matches the Rfam family "Bacterial large subunit ribosomal RNA", at positions 1 to 2509 of the family's 2925-position model. Lineage: Bacteria; Bacillati; Actinomycetota; Actinomycetes; Actinomycetales; Actinomycetaceae. The record is from RNAcentral.
GGUCAAGCUACAAAGGGCGCAUGGUGAAUGCCUUGGCAUCAGGAGCCGAUGAAGGACGCGAUAAGCUGCGAUAAGCUUCGGGUAGGCGCAAAUAGCCUGAGAUCCGGAGAUCUCCGAAUGAGGAAACUCACAUGGGAAACCCCAUGUAUCCUGUGGUAAAUACAUAGCUACAGGAGGGUAAACCCAGGGAACUGAAACAUCUAAGUACCUGGAGGAAGAGAAAGAAAAAUCGAUUUUCUUAGUAGCGGCGAGCGAAAAGGAAAGAGCCCAAACCGGAAACUUGUUUCCGGGGUUGCGGACAGAGCAUAAAAUACAUGAUAUGAUUAAUCGAACACAGCUGGAAAGCUGGGCCAUAGAGAGUAAUAGCCUCGUAAGUAAAAGUCAUUAAUGUCAGCUCUGAUCCAGAGUACCACGAGACACGUGAAACCUUGUGGGAAGCAGGGAGGACCACCUCCCAAGGCUAAAUACUACCUGAUGACCGAUAGUGAAGAAGUACCGUGAGGGAAAGGUGAAAAGAACCCCGGGAGGGGAGUGAAAUAGAAUCUGAAACCGUGUGCCUACAACCGGUCAAAGCACCAUAUGAGUGUGAUGACGUGCUUUUUGUAGAACGAGCCUGCGAGUUACGGUAUGUAGCGAGGUUAAGUACUUAAGGUACGGAGCCGAAGGGAAACCGAGUCUGAAAAGGGCGACUAGUUGCAUGCCGUAGACCCGAAACCGGGUGACCUAUCCAUGGCCAGGUUGAAGCGGAAGUAAAAUUCCGUGGAGGACCGAACCACGUUGGUGUUGAAAAACCAUGGGAUGAGCUGUGGAUAGCGGAGAAAUUCCAAUCGAACUCGGAGAUAGCUGGUUCUCCUCGAAAUAGCUUUAGGGCUAGCGUCGGAUGUGAGUAGCGGAGGUAGAGCACUGAAUGGGCUAGGGGGCGUAUAGCUUACCGAACCUUAUCAAACUCCGAAUGCCGCAUACUAUUAGUCCGGCAGUCAGACUGCGACAGAUAAGUGCCGUAGUCAAAAGGGAAAAAGCCCAGAUCGUCAGCUAAGGUCCCUAAGUAUAGAUUAAGUGGUAAAGGAUGUGGGAUUUCGAAGACAACUAGGAUGUUGGCUUAGAAGCAGCCACUCAUUGAAAGAGUGCGUAAUAGCUCACUAGUCGAGAGAUCCUGCGCCGAAGAUGUCCGGGGCUAAAAUCUAUCACCGAAGCUACGGGUUGACACGUAAGUGUCAGCGGUAGGGGAGCGUCCUGUAUGGGCUGAAGUCGUACCGAAAGGAGCGGUGGACUGUACAGGAGUGAGAAUGCAGGCAUAAGUAGCGAGAAAUGAGUGAGAAUCUCAUUGGCCGAAUACCUAAGGUUUCCUCAGGAAGGCUCGUCCACUGAGGGUUAGUCGGGACCUAAGCCGAGGCCGAAAGGCGUAGGUGAUGGACAAUCGGUUGAUAUUCCGAUACUACUGUCAAUCGUUAUUACCGAUGGCGUGACGCAGGAGGAUAGUGUGUGCUAGCUAUUGGAUGCUAGUCUAAGCAUUUAGGUAUACAGGAUAGGCAAAUCCACCUGUAUAAGCUGAGAUGUGAUGGGGAAGGUCCCACGGGACCGAAGUACAUGAUUCCACGCUGCCAAGAAAAGCGUCUAGGGAGAAAGAUAGUACCCGUACCGCAAACCGACACAGGUAGGUGAGGAGAGAAUCCUAAGGCCGACGGAAGAAUUGCAGUUAAGGAACUCGGCAAAUUGACCCCGUAACUUCGGGAGAAGGGGUGCCAUGGAGACAUGGCCGCAGAGAAUAGGCCCAAGCAACUGUUUAGCAAAAACACAGGUCUCUGCUAAAGCGAAAGCUGAAGUAUAGGGGCUGACGCCUGCCCGGUGCUGGAAGGUUAAGGGGAUCACUUAGCGCAAGCGAAGGUGUGAACUUAAGCCCCAGUAAACGGCGGCCGUAACUAUAACGGUCCUAAGGUAGCGAAAUUCCUUGUCAGGUAAGUUCUGGGAUCGUCAGGUCCUGUGGAGUCAUCCUUGGGAUACCACCCUGACAGUACUGGGAUUCUAACCGGACGCCAUGAAACUGGCGACGGGACAUUGUUAGGUGGGCAGUUUGACUGGGGCGGUCGCCUCCUAAAAUGUAACGGAGGCGCUCAAAGGUUCCCUCAGAACGGUCGGAAAUCGUUCGAAGAGUGUAAAGGCAGAAGGGAGCCUGACUGCGACACCUACAAGUGGAGCAGGGACGAAAGUCGGACUUAGUGAUCCGGUGGUACCUCGUGGGAGGGCCAUCGCUCAACGGAUAAAAGCUACCUCGGGGAUAACAGGCUGAUCUCCCCCAAGAGUCCACAUCGAC